UGCCAGCCGCCGCGGUAAUACGGAGGGUGCAAGCGUUGCUCGGAAUCACUGGGCGUAAAGCGAACGCAGGCGGACCAGUAAGUCGGGUGUGAAAUCCCGGGGCUCAACCCCGGAACUGCAUUCGAAACUGUUGGUCUCGAGUACGGGAGAGGGAAGCGGAAUUCCUGGUGUAGAGGUGAAAUUCGUAGAUAUCAGGAGGAACACCUGUGGCGAAAGCGGCUUCCUGGCCCGAUACUGACGCUCAUGUUCGAAAGCGUGGGGAGCAAACAGGAUUAGAUA
This 279-nucleotide ribosomal RNA is filed under the name uncultured bacterium. Its description in RNAcentral is "partial 16S ribosomal RNA". It matches the Rfam family "Bacterial small subunit ribosomal RNA", at positions 506 to 784 of the family's 1533-position model. The record is from RNAcentral.